GCUUGUCUCAAAGAUUAAGCCAUGCAUGUCUAAGUAUAAACGACUUUAUACUGUGAAACUGCGAAUGGCUCAUUAUAUCAGUUAUAGUUUAUUUGAUGGUCCUUACUACUUGGAUAACCGUAGUAAUUCUAGAGCUAAUACAUGCAUGCAUCAAACCCCGACUUCUGGAAGGGGUGUAUUUAUUAGAUGGAAACCAAUGCGGGGCGACCCGGAUCGAUUUAUCGAUCAUCAUUCAAGUUUCUGCCCUAUCAGCUUUGGAUGGUAGGGUAUUGGCCUACCAUGGCUUUAACGGGUAACGGAGAAUUAGGGUUCGAUUCCUGAGAGGGAGCCUGAGAAAUGGCUACCACAUCCAAGGAAGGCAGCAGG
RNAcentral lists this ribosomal RNA (366 nucleotides) under Ochromonas tuberculata. Its description in RNAcentral is "partial small subunit ribosomal RNA". It matches the Rfam family "Eukaryotic small subunit ribosomal RNA", at positions 30 to 432 of the family's 1831-position model. The record is from RNAcentral. Lineage: Eukaryota; Chrysophyceae; Chromulinales; Chromulinaceae.